AUUGAACGCUGGCGGCAGGCCUAACACAUGCCAGUCGAGCGGAUGAAGGGAGCUUGCUCCUGGAUUCAGUGGCGGACGGGUGAGUAAUGCCUAGGAAUCUGCCUGGUAGUGGGGGAUAACGUCCGGAAACGGGCGCUAAUACCGCAUACGUCCUGAGGGAGAAAGUGGGGGAUCUUCGGACCUCACGCUAUCAGAUGAGCCUAGGUCGGAUUAGCUAGUUGGUGGGGUAAAGGCCUACCAAGGCGACGAUCCGUAACUGGUCUGAGAGGAUGAUCAGUCACACUGGAACUGAGACACGGUCCAGACUCCUACGGGAGGCAGCAGUGGGGAAUAUCGGACAAUGGGCGAAAGCCUGAUCCAGCCAUGCCGCGUGUGUGAAGAAGGUCUUCGGAUUGUAAAGCACUUUAAGUUGGGAGGAAGGGCAGUAAGUUAAUACCUUGCUGUUUUGACGUUACCAACAGAAUAAGCACCGGCUAACUUCGUG
RNAcentral lists this ribosomal RNA (484 nucleotides) under uncultured bacterium. RNAcentral describes it as "partial 16S ribosomal RNA". It matches the Rfam family "Bacterial small subunit ribosomal RNA", at positions 30 to 507 of the family's 1533-position model. The record is from RNAcentral.